This is a transfer RNA of Toxocara canis (dog roundworm), 72 nucleotides long. It matches the Rfam family "tRNA". Rfam says of the family: Transfer RNA (tRNA) molecules are approximately 80 nucleotides in length. Their secondary structure includes four short double-helical elements and three loops (D, anti-codon, and T loops). Further hydrogen bonds mediate the characteristic L-shaped molecular structure. tRNAs have two regions of fundamental functional importance: the anti-codon, which is responsible for specific mRNA codon recognition, and the 3' end, to which the tRNAs corresponding amino acid is attached (by aminoacyl-tRNA synthetases). tRNAs cope with the degeneracy of the genetic code in two manners: having more than one tRNA (with a specific anti-codon) for a particular amino acid; and 'wobble' base-pairing, i.e. permitting non-standard base-pairing at the 3rd anti-codon position. The record is from Rfam. NCBI's taxonomy places the organism in Eukaryota, Metazoa, Nematoda, Chromadorea, Rhabditida, Toxocaridae.
CGGGCAAUAACUCAGUGGUAGAGCUCCCGCUUCCUAUGCGGGAACACCUGGGUUCGAUUCCCGGCUGCUUGC